CUGGGAACCCUGGCAACUGAAACCAAAGCAAACCAAACACUGUCGCAAUCUGGGCAGAGAUCUACGGAUCUGCCUGGCCGUAGUCAUAGGCUGGGAACAGGGGCCAAAACUGGGUGGUGUGGCCCACUGAGCUAGAAGUCUGAAUUUAUACACACACACACACACACCCUGAAGUCACCCAGAGGGAGGAAGAAGAGGGGUGCAGCAUAUAGCGGCCUCAGAACGGUGCUCCAGAGACACUGGGCUUUGCCAUCCAGUCCCCACACAAGGCUACAGCCAAUGUGCGCCUGGUGAGUCCCUGGGAACUGGGAAACCCCUGAUGGUUGAAGCUGAAGCUGUUACCAGUGGAGAAUUCUUCCCAGGCCUAAUUUUCUCUCUCACACUGGUAUAUCGGUCUCGACCCUCAGACUCUUGGCCAGACAGAUGCCACUGGACGUCCCUCCAAAUGUAUAGCCUAAGUUUGUGAUGCUGCCUGGCACAGAACCUGGUCCGGCUUGGAAAGCAGGGACAUCGGCACUGAGCUUAUCUCCUGGUGCUAAUGCAGGAGAGGGUCGAGCUUCAGAAGCUAGGAGCAAUGAGUCCAGCAGUGGUAACCAUAACUAAGACACCUUCCCAGAGAAAGCAACCAAUGUUAUUCUAACUGUACCGGGAAGAUAACCAGGAGAAUAAAAACAUCCACCUAAGGAAUCUGGAGACCACUGGACAAAUGAGACAUCUAAAGGAGAAGACAAAUCGUUAAGAGAAAAUGUCCCAAGAAAAAGAGUAAAUUGGCCUAAUGGCAUAGCACACUCCCAACAGGGUUGAAUUUCAUAAACCUUCCCAAACACUGUUUUUGCUGCUCUCUAAAAUAAUAAAAGGCAGAUUUUUUUUAGUCCCAAUUUAGUUAAAAAUCAAAGAUGGAUUUGAUGUUGAAAUGUGACUCUCUCCUCUAAACCCAAGCAUUCUUGUUAAAGGACAAUCCAAAAUCUCUGUCUCAUGUUAGAAGAGCCACCUGGUAUGGAUCAGAAGAAAACCAAAGUUAAGGGCUAAUUCUAUUGCCACUAAUCUCAUAACCCUUUAGUUUUAUUUUGACUCUCUUAAAACACCUUCCUUAAUAAAUAAAUAUUAUCUCAAAAUAGA
Long non-coding RNA from Arvicola amphibius (Eurasian water vole), 1119 nucleotides. RefSeq lists it as uncharacterized. The transcript is spliced from 6 exons. The record is from RefSeq and is a predicted model, not a curated record. NCBI's taxonomy places the organism in Eukaryota, Metazoa, Chordata, Mammalia, Rodentia, Cricetidae.